GGUCGACCCGCUGAAUUUAAGCAUAUCACUAAGCGGAGGAAAAGAAACUAACCAGGAUUCCCCUAGUAACGGCGAGUGAAGAGGGAAAAGCCCAGCACCGAAGCCUGUGGCAAUUUUGCUGCUAGGCAAUGUGGUGUUUAGGUCGGCUCGUGGGAUCGCCACUCCACUCGAAGUCCAGCAUUGAGUAUGGUUCCCAGGAAUUGGCCCAUAGAGGGUGAAAGGCCCGUACGAGUGGAUGUGUCAGAUAUGUAAGGCGAUUCACCAGGCCGGCCUUAGAGUCGGGUUGUUUGCGAAUGCAGCCCAAAGUGGGUGGUAAACUCCAUCCAAGGCUAAAUACUAGCACGAGUCCGAUAGCGAACAAGUACCGUGAGGGAAAGUUGAAAAGUACUUUGAAGAGAGAGUAAACAGUACGUGAAACCGCAUAGAGGUAAACGGGUGGCGUCAAGCUGCAAGCCCAGAGAAUUCAGUCGGUCAGGGUGUUGUCAUGCGCCCAGCGCAUCUAUCAGUCGGUGUAGGAUUUGGCUAGUCCGCUUGAAGAUGGCGGGCCCAGCUAGCAAUAGCUGGGAUUUGCGUACCGGGCGGUAGCCGGAGCAUGCUAGCCGUCUGUAGGACUGCCUGGCCGAUGCACUUUCUCUGUUGGUGAACACCACGACCGGUGGUACUGCCAGUCUGCUGUAGCCAGCUUCGUUGCAUACUCUGGCCUUUUGGUUGGGGCGUGUGGCGAUCACAGACAAUUUCAGUGCACGGUGCUUGUGUGUUUUUCGCAUGCGGGCAUGUUAUCGGGAACUGGUUGUAAACGGGUCGGCCUGUCGACUUGUCUGUAGUCGUGGUUGAUGGGUGACCCGGUGGGCUAUGGUGGUAUGAAUAACUGUGCAGGGCACCGGAGUUUUCGGUCCGACCAGCAGUAGUCGUUCGCGGCUGCUGUUGCCGGCUGCAUACGCACUGCAGUUUAGCGUGUGCACUGUCUUUGGCAGUAGUACGGGCGGCGCUGUUUACGGCCUGCCAGUCGUUGGGUCUGAUUGUCGUGUCGCCUGCCAAAAUGGUGGGUCCGGCGGUGGCCUGGCGUUGGAUGGUGCCUGUAGACGGAGCUGUCGUUGUGCAGCCGGUGUUUGUGUGCGCGACCUUAUAGUCUGUGGUGUAGUGGUAGACGAGCUACCCGACCCGUCUUGAAACACGGACCAAGGAGUUUAACAUGCGCGCGAGUCAUUGGGUCCUACGAAACCCAGAGGCGCAGUGAAAGUAAAGCUUCGACAUAUAUUGUUCUCGGGGUGUGGUGAGAUCCUGCUGUUUCUCGCAUACAUUUGUCCAGCACUGGGCUAACUAAACGAGCAGUGGGCGCAUCACCGGCCCGUCCCAUGAUGUGGCUAUCUGUCAGUGGCAGUUGUCGCCUUACGGUGGUGGUUGCUUUCUGCGGGUACGUCAUCGGGGCGGAGCAUGAGCGCGCAUGUUGAGACCCGAAAGAUGGUGAACUAUGCUUGCGUAGGUUGAAGCCAGAGGAAACUCUGGUGGAGGACCGCAGCGAUUCUGACGUGCAAAUCGAUCGUCAAACGUGAGUAUAGGGGCGAAAGACUAAUCGAACCAUCUAGUAGCUGGUUCCCUCCGAAGUUUCCCUCAGGAUAG
RNAcentral lists this ribosomal RNA (1620 nucleotides) under Caryophyllaeus laticeps. RNAcentral describes it as "partial 28S ribosomal RNA". It matches the Rfam family "Eukaryotic large subunit ribosomal RNA", at positions 23 to 981 of the family's 3401-position model. Lineage: Eukaryota; Metazoa; Platyhelminthes; Cestoda; Caryophyllidea; Caryophyllaeidae. The record is from RNAcentral.